RNAcentral lists this ribosomal RNA (254 nucleotides) under uncultured bacterium. RNAcentral describes it as "partial 16S ribosomal RNA". It matches the Rfam family "Bacterial small subunit ribosomal RNA", at positions 524 to 776 of the family's 1533-position model. The record is from RNAcentral.
GACGAACCGUGCGACCGUUAUUCGGAAUCACUGGGCUUAAAGCGCGUGUAGGCGGGCCGGCACGUCGGUCGCUGAAAUCCCCCGGCUUAACCGGGGAACGGGCGUCGAUACGACCGUCCUGGAGGGGCGUAGGGGGACCUGGAACUUCCGGUGGAGCGGUGAAAUGCGUUGAGAUCGGAAGGAACGCCCGUGGCGAAAGCGAGGUCCUGGACGCCUACUGACGCUGAGACGCGAAAGCCAGGGGAGCGAACGGG